AUCCAUGAGAAGACACAGUGUUCCAUCCAGAGGAUGUAGCAUCAAGGCGUCAUCUUAAAAGCAGAGAAAAGACUCUUACUUGACACCAGAUGCCAGUGCAUUGAUCUUGGACUUCCCAGCCUCUAGAACUGUAAACAGCCCUGGGACAAAGAACAGACUACGGGUAUUGCCUUCUUAAUCAACAAUAAAGUAUUAGUUGGCUUCCAGGCAGACACCACUGACUUUCAAGAGAAAGGCACGGGAGUAAGGAAGUAAAGAAUUCAGAAUUCACUAUGGAGCUCAUACAACUACCACCUUCAGCUAUUAAUCAAGGAGUCAUUCAACUGAGAAAGGGGAGAUUGAGAUGUUGAAUCAUUUCUCAUUCUGUGAAGUCUACCAGAAUAACCCAUAAAGCAAAUAUCAACCUAUUUCAAUUAGAAAAAUGAAAAAUACUGAUACAGCAGACGAAUUCUGGAACUAACACUUCCACAAAUCAUUGAUAAUCCAUUUUCCAACUUCUUCAAAUUCCAGACCAUCAACAAGCUAUUCAAAACAAUAAAUGUUAAUAGUUUUGGUGGAGUUAAGCAGCAGAAGUUAAAAGCAUUGUGGAAGACAGUAUGGUGAUUCCUCAAGGAUCUAGAAGCGGAAAUACCAUUUGACCCAGCAAUCCCAUUAUUGGGACAUCAAGGGCUCCGGACAUUGUGAAAGUUUCCCUUUAAGUUACGACGGGAAUCCAGAACAACGCCGUAUGGACCCCUCUGCAGGUAGCAAGGAAAAGCGCCAGUAACUUUUAAAGGCUUGUUUUGCAUAUUAUUCAGGCCUAAAUCACGGUUCUCAUAAAUUGAU
RNAcentral lists this long non-coding RNA (825 nucleotides) under Homo sapiens (human). RNAcentral describes it as "long intergenic non-protein coding RNA 1709". The record is from RNAcentral. Lineage: Eukaryota; Metazoa; Chordata; Mammalia; Primates; Hominidae.